UUUAUGCUGUGUGUCCCUGAUAAAAUUAUGCAAGGAUAUAAAAAAGCUCUAAGUUUAGACUCAAGUUAAGAUUUUUUUUUUUGUAACUAACUCAAGUUAAGAUUUGUGUUGUGGAAUUGGUUGGAUAUGAAAAGUUGAAGGCUAGGCGAAGAGUGAUUCUCCUGGAUUGAGGCCAUGGUACGUGACUUCUGGAGGGUGACUCUGCACUUCAACGAGAUUGCUUAAUGCUUAACAUGUUUGGUUUAAAUUUAAAAUUUUAUUCACUUCUAUAUGUGAAAUAGUACAUGGCUCUUUCUUGCCAUAAAAAGUAAACAUAAUUUAAUGGUGAAAUUGUCUUAUUAGCUCAUAUCAAACUUUUAGUUGUUCAAAACUGUUAAAAAAAAAGAGAGUUUUACUUGUAUGUUAUGUUCGUUUUAAUCGAAU
RNAcentral lists this long non-coding RNA (423 nucleotides) under Brassica napus (rape). RNAcentral's name for it is "long non-coding RNA (BNAP_LNC006803)". Lineage: Eukaryota; Viridiplantae; Streptophyta; Magnoliopsida; Brassicales; Brassicaceae. The record is from RNAcentral.